UCUCCUCCCUCCCCUUCCGCAGGGUCCGGCGGUGGCGGCCAGCAAGCGGAGGAGCGCAGCGCUGGAGCUGCAGGGCAUCCUGAGCACCAUGAGGAGGGCGAGCAGGAGGUCGAGCGGGCGGCAGAGCAGCCUGAAGAGCAGGGACAGGCAGCUGGAGGCCAUCCUGCAGCGGCGGCGCCGGGCUGUGGAUGCCUCCCUGCCCACAGCGCCGCAGGACCGCGAGGAUGCGGGGAGGCCGGAUCCCGGAGACAAGGACAUCGGCACGGCUCCAUCCAGGCACUCGCCGGGGUGCGGGGCCGGGGUGCCGUUCAGACCCCGGGCAGUGGGGGGCCUCCCCAGGACCCGGCCCCUCACCCACCUGGCCGGAGGCAGGGGGGAGCUGGGGUAGAGGCAGCUGCCGUGGCGGGGCGAGGAGGGGACCCGGCGGUGGGGACGGCUGCGGCAAGCUUUCACCCUCAUUUUCCAGCACGUUGCAUCCACUUGUGCCUUAAUUAAAGCGAGGUGGCACCGGG
Phalacrocorax carbo (great cormorant) is the source of this 512-nucleotide non-coding RNA. Lineage: Eukaryota; Metazoa; Chordata; Aves; Suliformes; Phalacrocoracidae. The record is from RefSeq and is a predicted model, not a curated record.